AAAGCCGAGUUCCCGUACGAUCACUGAAGUUGAGCAACGUCGAACCUGGUCAGUACCUAGAGGAGUGACCGCUUGGGAAUACCAGGUGCUGUAU
Molecule: non-coding RNA, 94 nt
Organism: Acanthosepion pharaonis
Lineage: Eukaryota; Metazoa; Mollusca; Cephalopoda; Sepiida; Sepiidae
Source: the annotation of a GenBank genome assembly